Molecule: ribosomal RNA, 371 nt
Filed under: uncultured bacterium
Lineage: Bacteria
Description: bacterial SSU rRNA
Rfam family: Bacterial small subunit ribosomal RNA
Source: RNAcentral
GAGGGUGGCAAGCGUUGUUCGGAUUUACUGGGCGUAAAGGGGGUCUAGGUGGUAUGCUAAGUCUUCUGUGAAACCCCGGGGCUUAACUCCGGGACUGCAGGGGAAACUGGCAUGCUAGAGCGCGUAAGACGCAUGCGGAAUACUGGGUGUAGCGGUGAAAUGCGUAGAUAUCCAGUAGAACACCUGCGGCGAAAGCGGCCUGCGUGUACGUUGCUGACACUGACGCCCGAAAGCGUGGGGAGCAAACAGGAUUAGAUACCCUGGUAGUCCACGCUGUAAACCAUGCGCACUAGACGUUGGCGGUAUCGACCCUGCCAGUGUCGUAGUUAACGCGUUAAGUGCGCCGCCUGGGGAGUACGCUCGCAAGAGUG